AGGGACUUGGGACAGGCCGCGAGGGGAGGCGCGGGGCUCUGGCGCUCGUGGCCGAGCCUGCCCGCGACGGUGGUACGGCACGACCCGCGCGCGACUGCGCGCGCGUCUCUCUUAACCGUGGCCACGCCCGCGCCGGUGGACGACGUAACAGAGGCCUGGCCUACGACGUAUCCCAUUCAUUCAUUCACGCGUUCGUUCUUUCAGCUCACGCGUUCGUUCUUUCAGCUCAGCCUGCAUUGCGCGCGUUCCCUGCUGGCUCUGCAGUGAACGACUGAGGUGGGGCUCAUCGUCUUGCUCCUUCCUCAAAGGGAGGGCAAGACCGAAACUCGGUGGCAAAGCUCUGACUGGGGGUCUCUCCAGUUACUCACACGCUGUUGGGGGAGUUUUGAUGUUUAAAUUGUAUAAAUCGGACCUCUGACACGCCCCUAGGCCCAGGGUAGGCUGAAGGAAAAGGGUUUGGAGCGAGUUGGAGGCGGGAAGAAUGGUUCUGAACGCCUAGACCUAAAGGUUGAGACUCAGAAUUGUUAACAGGACGAAUGACCAAGGAGAGGUUUAAAGAACCCAGAGUAAUCCGUAAAGCAGAGAUUACCUAUAGAGUGCGAGGUCCUAUGAGAGAAUUAGAGUGGGGGUGCCCGAAAAUUGAAUUGUUGGGGAAGCGUUUUAUCCUGAUGACGGAUGGUUUGCUGUGUGAUGGACUGUUUGCAAGCACUUUACUUCAUCUUCACAGCAAUCGUGAGGAGGUGUUGUUUCCAUUUUACAAAUGAGGCUUAGAUAGUUAACCUUUUCCAAGGAGCUGUUUUGUCCCCAGGCAGAUCCGCCAAGACCUGGCCCUUAACUACUUAACCACAGUGUUUCCUAGCACACUAACAGACAGUAGAUGGUGAAUAAAUGAAGACAAGACUGACCGUGCCUUCCAGGAACUUAGAUUCCAAUGGAGAAGAGAGACCAGUAAACAAUUAGUUACAAUCCAAUGUGUUAAGGGCUGUCUGUAAUACAGGUUCCUCCAAGGUGCUAUUUUAGCAGAGAGGCAUUAACUGCUUGAGAACUCAGGGAAGCCUUCUUAAAUAAGUGAAGUCCUCAAUGAUGAGUAAGAACCUACCUGACCUUGUAGGGAAGAGUAUGCCAAGCAUAGGAAAUGGCCUGUGAAAUGGCAUUGAGCUAUGAGAGAGAAAAAAUAGUGCACUAAAGAAACUGGAACUCUGAAUACAAGAAACCUACUAAGAACAAUAAGAAAUAUUUUGUGCUGGCACGAUGCUAAAUGGUUAAUAAAUUUAAUACAUCAUUCAAUUAUGAAACAGAUGAAGUAGUCUCUAUUAUUAACAGAACGUUUUAGAUGAGAAGCCAAGGUUCAGAGGUAAUAAUGAGAAUUUCAAAUAACCAGAAGUCUGCAAUAGGUGGUUCUGUGACUAGAAGAAUCUGCAAAAGUAAAUGAAACUGGACAAAGAUACUUUUCAGAAUAUUUUAUAGAGGACCCAGGAUAAUUCAUGCUGGUAGGCAGAAAGGCAGAGUGCUAUUGUGUUGGGAGUGUGUAGGUCUGCAGUCUGGGCAGGGCUUGGCAGGAAGGCACACUCUGCUUGUGCUGCAUCAGCCUGUGCAACCAGAAGAUUGGCUUCCAUGAUGGUUCACAAGGCGGGCAAGUUGGUGCUGGCUGUUAGUUUCACUCCAAGUGGGCCUCUCCCUGGGGCAUCUUGGGCUUCCCCAUUGCAUGGUGGCUGGGCUCCAAGAGUAAGUGUUCUAGCAAGCUGAAAUGGACACUAAAUCGCCUUUUUUGACCCAGCCGUGGAAAUCACAUGGCCUCGUGGAAGUCAAAUGGCAUCACAAUAACCAUAAUCCAUCAGUCAAUCAGCCACAAAACUCACCCUGUCUCAAGGGGCAGGGAACAUGGACACCACCUCUUGAAAGGGGAGCUGCAAGACUCUAGGAACUAGCAGCAUAUAUGUGAUGGAAAGUAUGGUUGUGGCCAAUUUUGGGAAAGAAACUGCCACAUGUACAAUAUUUGUCAGAGUAUGCUUACCAGCCACCCGCCUUGGAAUCAUCUAGGGCACUGUUUUUUGUUUUGUUUUGUUUUGUUUUAAAAAAAGCAUUCCUGCAGCUGGAGCCCUUCCCCCAGGGAUUCUAAUUCUCUAGGUCAGUGCUGAGACCUGGGAAUCUGCAUUUAAACAUCAGGGGUAAUUUUGAUGGAUACUAACACUUGAAGACAAAAAAUUCUGAACAAACGAGAACAAAAAAAACAAUAAGCAAAACAAAAAGAGGUGCCAGGUGCUUUUUUUUUUUAUGUUUUUGAGACAGAGUCUCUCACUGUCACCCAAGCUGGAGUGCAGUGACAUGAUCUCGGCUCACUGCAACCUCUCCCUCUGAGAUUCAAGCAGUUCUUCUGCCUCAGCCUCCAGAGUAGCUGAGAUUACAGGCGUGUGCCACUGCCCCCUGCUAAUUUUUGUAUUUUUAGUAGAGAUGGAGUUUCACCAUGUUGGCUAAGCUGGUCUUCAAUUCCUGGCCUCAAGUGAUCCUCCUGCCUCGGCCUUCCAAAAUUCUGGGAUUACAGGUGUGAGUCACUCCACCUGGCCUCCUUUUGUCUAUCUUCUAUUAGAACAGACAAUAAGUAUCAUUUAGGUUAAGAGUGAGAGCUCUGGAGCCCCCAGUCGGGGUUUGAAAACACACUUUGCUUAAUUUCUCUGUCCUUUGUUUUCUUCACCUAUUAAAUAUACUUACCUUCAUGUGGUUGUUGGGAAGUUUAAAUGAUGUAAUUUGUAUAAGGUACUUAGAACAGUACACAGCACUUAGCAAUCACUUAUUUUUUGUAAUUUGAUAGAACCAUGUGUAGUUUUCUUUAGGAAACCAGAUUUUUAAAACUUGAUAGUAUAACCUUGUUUGGUAGAGAUUGCUUUGAUGGCAUAAAAUUCUCUGAGAGUAUUAACACUUUAACAUAUACAUUUUUCCUGUCUCUCCAAAUUGUUUUUUCUGUUUUCUUCCCCUCUUGAGGACAGCUCGCACUAAACUCAUCUGGAAACGAAAAUCUGAACUUCCGAUUCAUAUAAAUCCUGUGGAACAGGAUAUACUCUAGAAGAACAGGUUGUCACAGGGCUGAGAUACGGUUCUCAAAUUAGAGGGCUAGUUAAGAAUCCUAUUUACUCUAAUACAGAGAUAGACAACAAAACAGUGGUUACCUGGAGCAGGUUGUGGGGUGGAGUGAUGGAGAAUCAGAGAUGUAGAUCAGAGGGUACAAAGUAGCAGAUAUUUAGGACAAGUCUAGAGAGUUAAUGUACAUGAGAACAAGCCUAGAGAGCUAAUGUAUAUGAGAGCUAUAGGUAAUAAGUUUACGCUAUGUAUGAGAUUCAUGCUAAAUAAGUAGAUUUUAGCUACUGUUGUCACAAAAACAUAGGUAACUAUGUGAGACGAUGGAUAUGUUAAUUUGCUUCACAAUAGUAACCUAUUUACUAUUGAUACGACAUAUUCCAUAACAUCAUGUUGUAUACCUUCAAUAUAAACAAUAAAAUAAUUUUAUUUGGCCACGCACAGUAGCUCACCCCUAUAACUCCAGCACUUUGGGAGGCUGAGGCAGGUGGAUCACUCAAGGUCAGGAGUUGGAGACCAGCCUGACCAACACGGUGAAACCCUGUCUCUACUAAAAAUACAAAAUUAGCUGGGUGUGGUGGUGCAUGCAUGUAAUCUCAGCUACUUGGGAGACUGAGACAGGAGAAUCGCUUAAACCUGGGAGGCAGAGUUUGCAGUUAGCCGAGAUGGCACCAUUGCACUCCAGCCUGGACAACAAGAGCUAAACUAGGCCUCAAAAAAUAAAUAAAAUAAAAUAAAAUGUUUUGAGGCAAGGUCUCACUUGUUGCCCAGUCUGGAGUGCAGUGGUGCAAACAUGGCUUACUGCAGCCUCAGCCUCAACCUCCUGGGCUCAAGUGGGCCUCAGCCUCCUGAGAAGCUGGGACUACAGAUGCACACCACCAUGCCCGGCUAAUUUUUAAAUUUUUUAGAAACAGGGUUUCACCAUGUUGCCUAGGAUGGUCUCGAACUCCUGGGCUUAAGCGACCCCUCCCACCUCAGCCUCCUGAAGUGCUGGAUUACAAGCAUGAGCCACCAUUCCUGGCCAAAACUUAUUUUUAAAAAUCCUACUUACUAUACCCAUAAAAUAUGGAUAAAAUAGGAUAUCUAAAAAACUGACUGAUCAUGUACCUCAUAAAUAUAUAUACCUACUAUGUACCCACAAAACAUUUUUUUAACAAACUAACUGGAUUCCUUCAGAGGUGGGAUAUUGAGCAGCUAGAGAACAAAUGUAAAAGGGAGGCUUUUUACUGUGUACUCUUAUACUUUUUGAAUUACGAACCACGUGAAUGUUUUACCUAUUCAAAAUGUGAAAUAUGUAUUCAGUUCACAAAUUUCAAUAGACUGCUCAAGAGGUAUUCAAAGCUCUAACAGUGCUGAUCAGGAAUUAUAUAAUACACUCAAAACUCAGCAAAAAGAUGCUGGUCCAGGUCCAUGGUACUGAAUAAAUGAUGACAGUGGCCAGAUAGCUUCACUAAGCUGAGCAGUGCUAGCCAUAACUCUUUUUUUUUUUUUUUUUUAAGAGACAGGGUCUUGCUCUGUUGCCCCAGACUGAAGUGCAGUGGUGCAAUCAUAAUUCAAUGUAGUUUCCAACUUCUCCCCACUCAGCCUCCACCAUGCCUGGGUAAUUUUUAAUUUUUUUGUAGAGACUGGGUCUGGCUAUGUUGUGCAGGCUGGUCUCAAGCUCGUGGCCUCGAGAAAUUCUCCUGCCUCUGCCUCCCAAAAUGCUGGACUUACAGGUGUGAGCCACCAUGUCUGGCCCAGAACUCUUUUUUCUUUCCUUUUUUCUUUUUUUUUCUUUUUUGAGACAGAGUCUCUCGCUUUGUUGCCCAGGCUGGAGUGCAGUGGUGCGAUCACAGCUCACUGCAAGCUCCGCCUCUCGGGUUCAAGCAAUUCUCCUGCCUCAGCCUUCUGAGUAGCUGGGACUACAGGCGCUCAUCACCACACUCGGCUAAUUUUUGUAUUUUUUAGUAUAGACGGGAUUUCACCAUGUUGGUCAGGCUGGUCUCGAACUCAUGACCUCAGGUGAUCCACCCACCUCAGCCUCCCAAAAUGCUGAGAUUACAGACAUGAGCCACCACGCCCAGACCAGAACUCUUAGCUAAUUAGUCUUUUUUUGGUUCUUUGUCAGGCCGCACUCUUCUCCUUGUUUUUUUCCAGUCUCUGCUCCUUCUGGGACUCAAAGUGCAAGUGCCUUUGCAUUAUCUUACAGGGGACAAGCAAAUAAGAAUGAAUGCUAUGUUGGAGGCAUUAGAGGAGUCCCAUUGUAUGAGAAACUCUUACUCCCCCAAACAAUAUUUUACUGCCCCUUGCUGCUUCCUCAUUACCCACCCCCAAAUAUUCCAGGUUUUCUACUUUGGUCUUGUAAUGGCAGAGACCUAAGUACUAUUUACCCUAUAGGCAAUAACUUAGGACAUAUGUGCCUGAUCUUCUCAGAGUCAGGGAUCUUCUCUGUCUUGGUUACCUCUGUAUCCUGGGCCCAAGUGCAGGGACUGCUACAUAUAUGCUCUCAAAAAAUACUUGUCAAGGGAAUAAAUCAGUCG
Molecule: long non-coding RNA, 5591 nt
Filed under: Homo sapiens (human)
Lineage: Eukaryota; Metazoa; Chordata; Mammalia; Primates; Hominidae
Description: non-protein coding lnc-MRPL42-2:2
Source: RNAcentral